Camellia sinensis is the source of this 381-nucleotide non-coding RNA. Lineage: Eukaryota; Viridiplantae; Streptophyta; Magnoliopsida; Ericales; Theaceae. The record is from RefSeq and is a predicted model, not a curated record.
GUGGAAGAAGAAGAGAGCUAUGGAGAUUCAUCUCCUAAUCCAUAAUUAAACUCUUGGUUUGAACGUUGUGUAAGGACACCAACCUACUCGAGGUGAUCGGGCACCGGAUCAGAGUUAGUGGCGCCGACCUGAACUCUCUUUUUUGUCAAGCCAACUAUUGCGCCUCACCACGAGGUUCCAAGCCAAUACGUGUCAAGUCUUUUUGGGUGGUUCAGAUUCACCCUUUAAAAAUCGGUCUAAUGGCAAGAGUGGUCUAUGACUUUUGUUUGAACUGUUUUGAUUACAUGAUUUAAUUCCCCAACUUGUGUUUCAUUUUGUAUAUAAGUGUUUAUGGACCUAAGUGUUUGUGCAUACAUAAAUAUUUGAAUGUGAGUUUGUACA